GACGAACGCUGGCGGCGUGCCUAAUACAUGCAAGUUGAGCGCUGAAGGUUGGUACUUGUACCAACUGGAUGAGCAGCGAACGGGUGAGUAACGCGUGGGGAAUCUGCCUUUGAGCGGGGGACAACAUUUGGAAACGAAUGCCAAUACCGCAUAAAAACUUUAAACACAAGUUUUAAGUUUGAAAGAUGCAAUUGCAUCACUCAAAGAUGAUCCCGCGUUGUAUUAGCUAGUUGGUGAGGUAAAGGCUCACCAAGGCGAUGAUACAUAGCCGACCUGAGAGGGUGAUCGGCCACAUUGGGACGGAGACACGGCCCAAACUCCUACGGGAGGCAGCAGUAGGGAAUCUUCGGCAAUGGACGAAAGUCUGACCGAGCAACGCCGCGUGAGUGAAGAAGGUUUUCGGAUCGUAAAACUCUGUUGGUAGAGAAGAACGUUGGUGAGAGUGGAAAGCUCAUCAAGUGACGGUAACUACCCAGAAAGGGACGGCUAACUACGUG
RNAcentral lists this ribosomal RNA (497 nucleotides) under uncultured bacterium. Its description in RNAcentral is "partial 16S ribosomal RNA". It matches the Rfam family "Bacterial small subunit ribosomal RNA", at positions 28 to 507 of the family's 1533-position model. The record is from RNAcentral.